UUAUGUCCAUGUAAAGACAGAAUGCUUCACAUUUGUCCAUCUUGUUCUCUUUUCUUCCUAAAAAUCAGAGUAUGUCUGUUUAGUGGAAACAGUUCCAGAAUUGACAACUACUUUGAGUGUCGUUCUCUAUCUUAAAUCUGGGUUCUUCUUUUUUUAAUGAUUGUUUGAAGGUUCACCGUCACUGAUUUAAAGAUGUCACUUACAUUUUGGAAGGGAUGAAUGGGUACCCACAUGCAUUUCAUGUGUGUUUUGAAUAACAUCUUAAAACCCAGUGUUAUUCUUGUUGAGGACAGCAUUCAUCGUUAAUGUAUUCAAAACCUCUCUUCAGCAAAACCAAGCCAUUUAAAUGUUUUGUGAUCCUUAAGGGCAAAAAAAGUUGUAUAAAUACGAUGAUUUGGUGGUGAUAGAUUGGCGGAGGGUGAAAAGGCAGCAUUGUGCAUGUGACAAUCCCAGUUCUGUUUUUGCCCUGGCAGCUCCCUGCAUUUCAGUGCUCAUUCCACUAUCACCCUGGGGGACGCAUCCCCACACAGUUCAUCUCUGCUGCUGUAUGUGUGCCCUGUGGGACCCCAGCUGCCUGAGCCAGGCAGGCCAGGGAAGUGCAGGUAAUGGCAACACGGAUGGGCACCAAAGCUGCUUCCAGCAGACCCCAAAGCACAGCCCAGCACCCAAACCAAAUGCUCUCUCCACCUCCAAGCAUUGCACAUAUGCUUGACAGGAGUCCAGGCACAAGACAGACUAGUCCAUGCUGUGUCAGUGCCCAAAGAUAAGCAGCGAGGGUGGUGUGUUCACAAUCCAUUGCUCAGUGACAUCACAGCCUGUUGUAUGUCACUGCAGUCCAUCUGUCCCCACAACACUCACUCCAGCAUCACCUCCCAUUUUGCCUUCUCCUGGGUACCGCUGUUUUCCAUCAGGCUCCGAGGACUGAGGCUUUCCAAAAUGCCCUAGGAAGAACAAGCUCAAGAGAAAUUACCCAGCAGGUGACAAGAAAGAGAAAGGGAAAUAAUUCACACAAGAAGGUUUUGCACCAAGUUGAACCAUGAGAUGGUUAAUGAUACAAGAAAUAAGAACACUAUUCAACAUCCAAGUUGAAGUGCAUGUACAUAGGUAUGUGUUUACGCAUUCUUCAACCUGAUCUGAAAAAUCCAGAAUGAGAUAUUUCCCACAAAUAAAUGUAAAGCAAAUGAGA
Molecule: long non-coding RNA, 1186 nt
Organism: Numida meleagris (helmeted guineafowl)
Lineage: Eukaryota; Metazoa; Chordata; Aves; Galliformes; Numididae
Exons: 4
Source: RefSeq, a predicted model, not a curated record